GUGGGCGUAGUACAAUGGUAGUAUAUUUGCUUGCCAUGCAAAUGACGCGGGUUCGAUCCCCGUCGCCCGCU
Molecule: transfer RNA, 71 nt
Filed under: Enterococcus sp.
Lineage: Bacteria; Bacillati; Bacillota; Bacilli; Lactobacillales; Enterococcaceae
Description: tRNA-Gly
Rfam family: tRNA
About the family: Transfer RNA (tRNA) molecules are approximately 80 nucleotides in length.
Source: RNAcentral